UGCAAACAACACAAGCACCUGAAAUGGGGCUAAACAUAUCAUAUUGCAUUACAUGUAAGUAAACUCUUAAACUGCCAUUAAAAGAACAUUUUUAAUCUCAGCAACCUAAACACCCCUACACUUCCACCAUACUUGGCGCCUUCCACUUGGCACACCUCCUUGUAAGCCAAUGGCAGGCAUUAUUUCUGUUUAACAGUUCCUGAUUGUGGAAGUGGAGUGUAUACAAGGCUGUGGAGCAACAAGCACACAUUCCAAAUCCAAAUCCAGUUUGGAACCACUGCCCUGGAGGGUACGGCGUAGCCCUGUGACACGCUGAAUGCGUUUAGGUUACAAACAUAAUGAUGACAGUAACUACGGAUGUUAUCAGAAAACCUACCGAUGAUUUCUGCAAGCUGGAUCCGCAGCAUUGUGCUUCAUGUGCCGAAAUUUCAGAUGACAGGUGGUACAGUGUCCCUGCGCAGCACUUCUUCUGUUUGUUCUUAAUGUUGUAGGCUUGAACCCCACAGCAGCGCUUGUUUUCUUCUUUGGAAUGUCUGUGUGGAUACAGGUUUAGCAGUGAGUGUCACAUCAGGGGAGUGAGAUGAAGAAAUUAUUAUAAUUGUAUUGUGAUCAUUUAAAGAUAGAUGGUCUAAAAAGGGGGCUAUGGAUGCGAGAUUGACAUCACUUCUGCAACACAGUGUCUAAAAUGAUAUGUUCAGCCACUGUACUGUUGUAUCACAGUAGUGAUCAUUACAAAAAGGGGGGGGGAGACUUGAAGCAUAAAAAUCUGAGUAAAAUGCAUGUUAUGCUGUUAGUGUUAGAAGGUGUACUGAUUAAAAUAAAAUAUCUAUUUAAAUAGAAAAUCAUGUAUCAGACAGAAAUGACUAAAAACACUGCUGAAAAGCACCAGUGAACCAAACUGACUCAGAACAGCGUGGAAAUAUUAUCAAUCAAAACACAUGUAGAUUAGCAAGUUAGAUUUUUCUCUCCAGGCAGAUUUUGAAAAAAAAACCCAACAAACUCAGUCAAUACAGUGCUGACUGUAAAUCUAAAACUGUGACCUAAAACUAAAAAGCUGAAAAUCAACCGGGUGUAUUAAUAACUUAUGUGAAUUAAUCACGGCUAUUGACUACUUUCACAUUUUAAAGACAUUUCAUUGUUAGGAAAGAGUAUUUAUCUGAACUCCAAAAGAAAGAACAAAAUGUAUUAUGACUUAAAUAUUAGGCCCCGUUCAAAUAUGGUAAACCUUUGUGUGAGGAGAAGUCAUAACAUACACGUGAAAAACAUACAGUCAGCCAGAAAAAUACAAAAAUUAAGAGAAAGCAGCUGACCCAGCCGUACAGACAUUCCCUGACUCAGUAGCUGGGUACAUUUUAAGGUUAAAAGGAAACAGUGGUCUGGAAAGAUACUGGAAUUCCUGCCCGUCUCAGACACUGUGAUUUUUUUCCCCCAGCCCCUCCUUGUCUGAGAUUCUCUAUUCCCUCAUGCACAGACUCUUUUCUUGGCAUUUUAAACACAUUGCAAGCCACAGCACACAGAGCCCGACAAAUACACCAACAAAGCUGAUUCAACAAUGAGGGUUACAAUUUCACUGAAUGUCAUCAGUAUUUUUUUAUGGAUAAACAUCAACAGAGAUGCACGCAUAAUCACCUGUGUCCAUUGCAGCAGAUUUCUCUAUGAGGAUUGUAGAGUUCUGUCCCACAGCUGUGUUGUCCUGGUGAGCCAUGAAACUUAUUACAACAUAUAGUCCCUUUAGAUUGGAGGUAAGGAACACUGAUGUCUGAACACUCCUCUCCAUCCUUUCUGUCUGUUUCCAGAUCAAAACAAAGGACUUUGUGCUGUGCCAAGCUGUUCUGCAUCGCUCCGCAGCCCUGGAAGAGAGAGAGAUUUUUUUUUUUAAUAAAAAAGGGUGCGGAAGAGCAGAAACAAGGGGGCACGGUCGGUCAUAACCACACUCAAAUGCAAAAAAAAAAUAAUGAAACAUCGCAAAUCCUAAUAACUACAAAGAAAGUUGUGCAAAGAAAAUCUUACCAGGGUGAUUUUAUAGCAUCCUAAUCCAAAUGCUGUUAACGUUCAUGGCACUAACGUUAGCAGGGCUUUAGUCCGAUAGACACAAAACAUUCUCACUUGCUCUAUAAAAGGAGCUGGGAGGAGCUCUGAGCUCUUUGUCAACUUCACUGUACUGAGGCAGCAGUUGUUGUUGUUUUUUCCUUCACAGUAAUAACAUAUAACGUCGUAAUGAUGACAGCGUGUAUUUAAACUGUUAACAUCAUUCACUCAUCUGAGCACAUAAGAUAGAAAAAGGGUCAGUGGUACAUUACCUGAUCCAAAGACUUCCACUCAGAGAUACAGCCAGCACAGCAGACAUGUGAACAUGUGGGGUCAAUAUUACCCUGACCUAGACACAGGAUAGUUGAUACAAGAUGGAUCAAUUCAAGCAGAACAGAAAAAAACAGCGGAGUUUAAACAUGUGCAGAGGGUGUGGGCAUGAAGAAAAUGAUUCAGAGGGUUAGACCAAGACAAACCAAUUUGAUAAACAGGGCUGACAUUUAAUAAGUGCUGAAAAACUGAUAAAGUUUUGCUUUGAUAAACACCCACAUCCUAUCUUCCCAGAGUAGAAAGGCUGUAGAACUGUGUGUGAACAGUGUUUCAAUAUCCACAUCUGAACAAAACAAAGACAUGAGCUGAUCUGCAGUCCUGGGAAAAAGCAGCUUUACGAGGCACCGGGUGUGUGUAUUGCGCCUGUCUGCUGGGACAAGUCGCCACAGGGAAGGGCUAAGGCUCUCUUGUUGUUGGAUCUCACCAUGCGUUCCCUGUUUCCAUGACCUGCAGGAUGGAAUCUUAAUCUCAAUUUCAAAUGGUUCGUGUCCAACUGAACAACUCCCUGAGAUCUGGCAAAUACAAAAAGCGAAAAUAAGAAUUCAUGACUCUACAUGCUGUUUUUGAAAUUCUUCUGGAGUCAGUCAUUGGACAGGAAAGUCGUCAGACAGUGUUAUAUUUUGUGUUCCUUUGUAAUGGAGUUAAUGAUUCCACUUGCCAUCACUUGGCAUAGAAUGUCUUUAUUUGACUAUUUCUAUUGUUUAAAUACCGUUUAUAAUUAAUUCUAAUGAGUAUCCACUGGGACUCUGUGUAACAUAAGCGCCCUCUGCUUGUGCCCCUGCAGACUUGAGCAGUGCAACCCGUGUAUCUUUGCCAGUCUGCACUAUGCUGUCCCCGUGAUUAAACGGCGUGCUGGUGCCAAAAGUAAAAGUGUUUGAAUGAUUCAUCACACAACGCAAGAGAGAGUACACAACCGCUACACCUUGAUACUUCCAAAGUGAAAGUUCAGCUAAAAUGUUAACACCAAAGAACAGA
Non-coding RNA from Labrus bergylta (ballan wrasse), 3333 nucleotides. The record is from RefSeq and is a predicted model, not a curated record. NCBI's taxonomy places the organism in Eukaryota, Metazoa, Chordata, Actinopteri, Labriformes, Labridae.